CAUUGAAGUGAUGAUAUUACUUUCCGAACUCAUCAAUGUCGACUCUAAAUUAUCAGACUACAAUUAUCUGAUCCAUG
Cajanus cajan (pigeon pea) is the source of this 77-nucleotide small nucleolar RNA. It matches the Rfam family "Small nucleolar RNA Z155". From Rfam's summary of the family: Z155 is a member of the C/D class of snoRNA which contain the C (UGAUGA) and D (CUGA) box motifs. Most of the members of the box C/D family function in directing site-specific 2'-O-methylation of substrate RNAs. The record is from Rfam. NCBI's taxonomy places the organism in Eukaryota, Viridiplantae, Streptophyta, Magnoliopsida, Fabales, Fabaceae.